RNAcentral lists this ribosomal RNA (469 nucleotides) under uncultured bacterium. RNAcentral's name for it is "bacterial SSU rRNA". It matches the Rfam family "Bacterial small subunit ribosomal RNA", at positions 28 to 480 of the family's 1533-position model. The record is from RNAcentral.
GAUGAACGCUGGCGGCGUGCUUAAUACAUGCAAGUCGAACGAAUGGAUGUCUAGCUUGCUAGACUGAAGUUAGUGGCGAACGGGUGAGUAAUACAUAGGCAAUCUGCCCUGAAGUGUGGGAUAGCUAUUGGAAACGAUAAUUAAUACCGCAUAGGUAGUAAGAAGGCAUCUUCCUACUAUUAAAGAUGCGUUUGCAUCGCUGCAGGAUGAGCUUAUGGUGUAUUAGCUAGUUGGUGAGAUAAAAGCCCACCAAGGCUAUGAUACAUAGCUGGUCUGAGAGGAUGAACAGCCACAUUGGGACUGAGACACGGCCCAGACUCCUACGGGAGGCAGCAGUAAGGAAUCUUCCACAAUGGGUGAAAACCUGAUGGAGCAAUGCCGCGUGAAUGAAGAAGGUCUUCGGAUCGUAAAGUUCUGUUAUUAGAGAAGAACAAGUCAAGGAGUAACUGUCUUGACUUUGACGGUACCU